UGUUGUUUAAACUCUGGAACAGACGCUCAGUGAGGGAGACAUCUUCCAGCACCCAGCACAGCGCCCAGCACAUGAGUGCUCAAUAAACAGAUGGGAAAGCCAAGGCCCAGAGAGCUCGGGGGGCUGGCAUAAGGACACACUGUGAAGUGGGACAGCAUUGGGAAGCUGCAAGCCAAGCGAGGGACCUGAAACCAGGUCUUUGGUUUGAUCUCAGUGGGGAUCUGGGUUCCGGAAGGCUCUGAGAGCUGCAGCUACAGGUCAGUUUCAAGCCAGCAUGCGGGGCAUCCUGAGGACACGACUGUGCAUCGUCCUGCACCUGCCCAGCCUGGAGCUCGGGUAUCUCCACCACAGCCUGGGCCACUGGGGCAGGGAGCGGGGUGGGGUGAGCCACCCUCUACAAAGGGCUUCUGGGAGGCUGAGCAGCAUCAGCUCUGCUGGGUCUCCAAGGAAAGACCUGAGGGCCCCAAGGACCCAUGGCGAUACUCACGGCUCACCAUCCCCACGCCUCCUGGGGUGAAUGCCCGAGGUCCUGACUUUCCCCAGCCCCAGUCCCAGCCCCAGCCCCACUGCUACAGCCCUCAGGCCCCAACCAGCCCAAGCUCCACCGCCCCUCUUCACAGACAGCAGUGCCACUCACUGGGCUUCCUGGCCCCAACCGCUCUCUUUCUCCAUGAUCUGCCCAGGCCACCCUGAAACACUUCUGGUUCCCAACUGCCUGCAGGAUAAAGUCUGAAGUCAUUUUUUUUUGGAGGAAGAUUAGCCCUGAGCUAAUGUCUGCUGCCAAUCCUCCUCUUUUCGCUGAGCAAGACUGGCCCUGAGGCCUGGGCCUCGGAGGACUCAGAAGGAACGGUGUGGCGUUGGUCAGAACAGUAUAUGGGACACAGAACUGGGCUUCAGACCCCUACAGAUGGAGUCUCAGGUCUGGUCUAACUCCCUGCCCCCACCCCCAGCUCCAGCCCAGCCCCAAGCCUGAUUUGAGGCCGGAGGGACCUAACCAGCUCAGUCCCUCUCUGGAGCUCAGAGGCAGAAGCCUCUUACAGCCCGUCCGACCUGGAAGGGUCCCCCACCUCUAAUAGUGUCCUUAUGUUUUAGCCUCUGUUCCCCUGUCCCUGUGUGGGCCUCUCAGAUUUCUGGCUUCCAUUCCCUGGUCACCUUCUGCCCUGUGGUCUGCCCUCACUGUUGUCUGUUGCUGCCCAGC
RNAcentral lists this long non-coding RNA (1198 nucleotides) under Equus caballus (horse). RNAcentral's name for it is "lncRNA (ENSECAG00000046778.1)". Lineage: Eukaryota; Metazoa; Chordata; Mammalia; Perissodactyla; Equidae. The record is from RNAcentral.